AUGUACAGACCGCGAUCUUCCCUUUCUGAAAGCUUUCUGAAAACGGAUUUCCAACGUAAUUGUAGCGAAGCUAAGUCAUUGACAAUGUCUUUAUCCAGUGUUAGAAACCCUACCCUCAUUAAUUCAGAGGAUAUUUUACCUGCUAUCAGCGGGUGUUUCGAUAGGCUCUCUGGAUUACAGUGGGGCUUGAUAGAAAAUGGGAUCUGGGACUCCGAUGUCCAAGUAGCACUGGCUGAUAUGAUUACUGAUGUCAUACAGUCAGUUAGCGCAAGCACCAUAAAAACUUCAAUUCUAGGAGGUCAGGACCAAUUAAAUGAUGCGUCAUUCCAGACAAGCCUUAGCAUAGCCGUGACAAAAAUAAGCCCCAUAUUGGGAAACUCUCUCUCAACCAGCUUUGCUGCCGCUCUUAAUGUCACCCAUGAGGAGUGUGACAGCGCUGUGGAGCUGACACAGAUGGUUGAGGAGGAGAUCUCGAAUAAAGUCAACUCGGGUUGGGUUCUAGUCCCAGAAAACCCCGAAUCUAUUUAUGUCACCAGAAAAAUAACAAACAUAAAAAACCUCAGAUGCAUGGUUUCUCAUGCUUUCUCAUAUCUGAAGAGAUAUAAAGGUAAGCUGAGCUGCCUGUGCAUGAAGACUUUACCCAGCUCCUUUAGUUCAAGCGUUGAGAGUCUUGAAUCCAAGCUCUCUGAGAUGGGAACAAUUAAAAAAAUAAGUAUGGAUCUCAUGAGGUGGAGUACAGACAGAGCAAUAAGUAAAGAUGACGAGGACUGUCACAUAGAACUGCAACCCAUGGAGGAAAAAGAAAGUGAUGAGUUUGCAGAAGCUGAGGAGAAAGCUCGAAAUGAUAUUGAAACAAUCCUCAACAGUCUGAAUUAUUUACAUGAUGAAGAUGAUGCAGAUAAAGCUGCAGCUGACAUUGUAAAUGUGUUAAUUGCUAACAUUCAGUAUCCUGAUGCAGAAGAUAUCACAUUAAGUGAGAAGUGUAGCUCACCCAAGCCUGCUUUUGAUGUGGACCUGGUGAUCAAAAAGGUGAAAGACUUUUUUGCAUCAUGCGCCCUAAUUAUAAAACCAGAUGAAGUAAAACAACACUUCUUCAGGUUUGCUAAAAAGGAAUUUGAAAAAAUGAACAGUGAGCUGAAAGAUCAGGUGAAGAAAAGCAAAGGAUAUUUGACCUUUCACAGACAACAGGCAAACUCCGCUGAGAGUGAGAGAGCUGACUCCAGGAAAAGCGUACACAUGAAUCCCUCAGAAGUUCCCAGAAAAUCACCAACCUUAGAAACCACAGUUAAAAGUUCUUCUCCACUCAAAUUUAGAACAGUCAUGCCGGUUAUGGAUAAACUGUUUAGUAAAUUAACACAGGCAGGACACCUUGACCUGACAAGUAAGGAAAUCGAGAUGUUUUCAAGGGAGUUGACAGAUAAAGUGUACGACCAUGUUGAGUCAACAUAUCCAGCUCCCAUGAUGCAAAUGGGUAAAAGUCUCUCAGAGUCUGACAUGUCUAAGAUUUCACAGGGUGACUGUAACGUACCCUCUGCUCCUAAGGUGCCAUAUGUGCUCGUAGAAGAUUCAGUGGAAAGGUUCUUACAAAACCUUCUUUUCUGGUUGGAGAAUGAAACUUUAACCCAAACUAUUAUAAAUGACAAAAUUUCUGGUGCCGUGGAAGAUAUAGUAAGAGUGCUGACCCCAUCAAAGGAAGAAGUUAUGAUUGGACCAGAUGCUGGUGAAACAAGUGACAGACUGUUUACAUCACAGUCAAGUCCAGUUACUGAUCUCACUAAUCAACCAGUCUGUGUGAGUGCAGAACACCCGGACCUGGUUUCAAAUACAAGCAAUGAUCAGGCAUCAGUGUCUCACUCUGAACCCACAGAGGGUCAAAGUCAGCCAGCAACCUCUGAAAAAACAGAGGAAGAACUAUCAGAAACAUUAGUGUCACCUGAUGAUAGGCUAAUUGCCAAUCAAUUUAGCACUCUUCUAGUCAUGAGAAUCGCACGCAAAUUGCCCAAAAACAUCAAACAUCUUCUGGAUACAGAAAAAAUAGACUUUGCUACCAACCAUCUGACAGAGUUGGUACUUUCUGAAGUGAGACGCACCAAAUCCCUGGAAAUUCUUAAAAAUAACAGCGUUAAAUUAGUCAAGGCCACAGCUAAAGGCCUUAUCAAGGAGUUUGGAUCUUCAGAGAAGUUCUUCGAUGUAAUAAUAUCAGAAGAUUCAUCUUUUUACGACACUAUUCUGAAUCACCUAACAAUCAAUCUCGGUGUCUUCAUGAAUCCUCCAAAGAAAUCCAAACUCGCCAGGUUUUUUUCAGCAGUGUUAAAAGCUUUUAAGAAGCCGUUCAGCUGCUGCUUUAAAGGCAGUACAGAUGACUAA
Molecule: long non-coding RNA, 2367 nt
Organism: Oreochromis niloticus (Nile tilapia)
Lineage: Eukaryota; Metazoa; Chordata; Actinopteri; Cichliformes; Cichlidae
Source: Ensembl